RNAcentral lists this transfer RNA (97 nucleotides) under Rhizoctonia solani 123E. It matches the Rfam family "tRNA". Rfam says of the family: Transfer RNA (tRNA) molecules are approximately 80 nucleotides in length. Their secondary structure includes four short double-helical elements and three loops (D, anti-codon, and T loops). The record is from Rfam by way of RNAcentral. Lineage: Eukaryota; Fungi; Basidiomycota; Agaricomycetes; Cantharellales; Ceratobasidiaceae.
GGCCGCUUGGUCUAGUAGUAUGAUUCCUGUUUUGGGUAUUGCACCCCUAGUGCUUACAUAAUACAGGAGGUCGUGGGUUCAAUUCCCACAGCGGCCC